AUUCCAGCUCCAAUAACGUAUGUUAAAGUUGUUGCAGUUAAAAAGCUCGUAGUCUGACUCUUGGCCUGGCGGCGAGCGUCGGCGGCCCACAAGGUCGCCUGGCGCGACCCGCUGGCCAUGUACUUCGGAGGAGCGCGUGUGCUUUUGAUUAAGUGGGCGCGGGAUUCCGAUAGUUUACUUUGAGAAAAAUAGAGUGUUCAAAGCAGGCGAUUGCCUUGAAUACAUUAGCAUGGGAUAAUGGAAUAGGACAUUGGUUCUAUUUUGAUGGUUUACGGGCCGAUGUAAUGAUUAAUAGGGACGGUUGGGGACAUUUAUAUUCCAUGGCUAGAGGUGAAAUUCUUGGAUUCAUGGAAGAUAAACUGCUGCGAAAGCGCCUGUCAAAGACGUUUUCAUUA
Molecule: ribosomal RNA, 395 nt
Filed under: Raineriophrys sp.
Lineage: Eukaryota; Centroplasthelida; Pterocystida; Pterocystidae
Description: partial small subunit ribosomal RNA
Rfam family: Eukaryotic small subunit ribosomal RNA
Source: RNAcentral